RNAcentral lists this long non-coding RNA (686 nucleotides) under Homo sapiens (human). RNAcentral describes it as "HSALNT0356739". The record is from RNAcentral. Lineage: Eukaryota; Metazoa; Chordata; Mammalia; Primates; Hominidae.
CUAUUUCAUCAAGUUUGUCUCAUUUACAAAAUGUUGCCCUGGGAAACCUAAAGGAAUUAAGGUAGGACAGAGAAGUAAUAAUGCGGAAGGUAAAGGUUGGUGGGGGAUAGGACUGCUGUUUUUAGUGGAAUCUUCUACAUGGAAAGAAAACUGCAGAAAUACUAGCAAGAAUCACCAAAUAUUCCAGAGACAGAAGAUAAGAAUGCUGCUAGUGUCCCCAAGUACAAAAGAAAUCUAAGAUCAAUUUCAGAAAUCGAGAUGUUAAUGGAAAUUAAACAAAACAAAAAUAAAUCAAGAUGAUUAUAAACUAAAGAAAAAUUUAAAACUUGCCCAAAGUUUGGAAACCUGAAAUGUGAGACUUUAACCCUAAUAUCAAGUUGGACAUUUUGGAAAAGAAGCUUCUCAAGACAUUUCUCAAGCAAAAAAUUACUUUUAAUGUUGAUCCUUUAAUUAACAAAAGCAGCUAAGAUUCAAUCAGAAGGGAAUUUGGAUCCAUUGACUACUUCCAGUCUGACACGUAAGCACUCAUCCCAAAGAAUCUUCAGCUCCAGGAUCUGGUGGAUACUUGGUUUACAAGUUUAUGUAAUUACUUUUCCAUUUCUUAAAAAUUAAAAAUAAAAAGAUGUGAAGUUUCUAAUUCAACUUGUUGAUAAUAGAGCAUACUAUACAGAACCUAAUUAAAGUGA